This 1428-nucleotide unclassified non-coding RNA is filed under the name Sipha flava (yellow sugarcane aphid). RNAcentral describes it as "lIM homeobox transcription factor 1-beta-like, transcript variant X3". Lineage: Eukaryota; Metazoa; Arthropoda; Insecta; Hemiptera; Aphididae. The record is from RNAcentral.
AAAAUCCCUCUGCACCCCGCGUGUACAUCGGCCGCGUCAAGUCGUGCUCCGCUAUAUACCGCGGUACAUUUUACACAACGCCGUACUCUUCCCGCUAGAGUAAUACCCAUUAUUUGAUAUCGGCUUUCCGUUUGUAUUUACAACAGUGUGCCGACUCCGCUGACGAGCGUAUAGCAUAGUGGACACGUCGCUGAGCAAAAAAAAGGGAUCGAGAUGAAGACGGCUUUGGGCGUAGUUAAAAUGAAAAUGGAACCAAUUUACGGAGACGACGCAUCAGAAUCGGCGACAGUGUCUGCCGUCUGCGCUAAAUGCGAAUGUAAAAUCGUAGAUAGAUACAUAAUGAGAGUGUCCGGUCGGUCUUACCACGAACGAUGCCUCAAGUGCUCGACGUGUGCGUUGAAGCUUGAUCGGUCGUGUUUUGUUUGGAACGCAAAACUCUAUUGCCGUCAGGAUUAUGACAAGUGUGUGUACCGUAGUUGUGGCAGUUGUGGUGAUCAUAUUGCGGCCGGCGAACUGGUAAUGCGAGCGGGCGAAUGUGUGUUCCACGAGCAGUGUUUCGUGUGCGUGGUGUGUGGUAUACGACUGUGCACCGGCGAUCAGUAUGUAAUCAAGCACUCGCAAUUGUUUUGUCGUCCGGACUACGAAAAGGAAGUGAACAUGAUGCGAGACGAAAUCAAUCGAAACACAGGAGAUUGGAAUUACAGUCACGAUGGGCGACGAGGACCCAAGCGUCCCAGAACGAUACUGACUACCCAACAGCGACGGGCUUUUAAAGCAUCAUUUGAACUAAGCCCAAAACCCUGUCGGAAAGUUAGAGAAGGUCUUGCUCACGAUACAGGCUUAAGUGUCCGUAUUGUCCAGGUUUGGUUUCAAAAUCAAAGGGCAAAAAUGAAAAAAAUCCAAAAAAAAGCGAAAUUAAACGGUAACAACCUAGUAAUAACUUCCAAUAGUAUAAACGGGAACAACAACUGUAGCGGCGCCGAGAGUGGUAAUUCGUGUAGUUCAAGUGGACUGCUACAAUCAGCUAUAAAAGACGAACAGUGCAGUUCCGAUGGCUGUGAAGAUGGUAUAUCCGGAAGGUUUGAAACGACUCAACAAGAAUCCCAUCAACAACCUCAACAACAACUCCAUGAACCUUUUCACUUACGACAACAAUCUUCUACCGUUGGAAAGCAAGACUCUAUGUCGUCAUUCUUACAGCAACAAUCUUUCGGCAUAUUCGGUCAAGCAUAAUAUAUUCAAAUACAUUUGUAUGUGAAAUAUCAAUUUUCUGAGCAAUUAAACGCAAGUUAGUUUCAGGAUUUGCUUCAUUUAUGUUUAAAACAAUAUCGUCUAAUUUACUUGGAUAACCGACGAGAGCCGAACUAUUUAACACCAGAUAUGAUGCCUAAACACAUUUAUGGCGGUUUCGUAUCGCAGGAGACGGUU